GUAAACGAUAAAGUCGCAAAACGCGCAACAUUGCGCCUCGUCGUUGGCUCGUCUCGUGCGUGCAUUCCAUGUGAAUAUCUACUUUAACUAGCAGCUUAGGCACUUCGGAUAAUUCCCCCUCCUUACUUUGGAUAUUAUAAAUUACGCUUUCGGCUGUGGAUAUACGCCCCGAUUUUGGAUUAAUUAACUACGAAAAGCGCCAUGUCGACUAUUAACUAUCAAAUGAGCGCACUUCUACUGGCCACCGCAAUGGCCCUGCUGUGCGGCCAAGUGUUGGGGCAGGCCCAGCUGCUGGACGAGGACGAGGAUGUCUAUGGCAGGCCCUGGCCCACCUACAGUCUGCAGAAUAUGCCCAAGACGCAGUUCACCUGCCGGGACAAGAUACUUGGCGGCUACUAUGCCGAUCCCGAGACGCAGUGUCAGAUGUUCCAUGUCUGUGUCAAGCUGCCCGGAGUGGGGCUCUCACAUCGAAGAAAUAAUUCGUUUGUCCAACAGGUGCAGGACUAUCGCUUCCUCUGCCCAAACAGCACUGCCUUCGAUCAGGAGCUGCAGAUCUGCGCCAACUGGGCAGACGUCGACUGCGACAAGUCCACGUCGCUCUAUCUGAACGAUUUGUAUCGCUCGGGUGACGAGAGCAAGAGCGUUAAUCAGGAGGAUGAAUCCACCUUCCAUUUGCAGCGCGCCGAAAGUGGUGAUGUGCGUCGCUCCAAGGAGAGCCGCGGCGAUCAAAAGUCGCGCCCCAGACAUAAUUAUGCGGUGACUGCUUCCAGUUCCAAUGCGGACAACGCGCCGACAACCAAACGACCCAUCACUAGCUAUUAUACGCCCACGACAACAACAACCACAACAACAUCAACUGAACGUAACUACUACAACAACAAUAACAACUACAACAACAAAUACAACAAUAACAACAACUACAACGACGACUCGAAGCAAGACAUCGAUGAUAUCUUUAAAGGUUCCCACAGCUCGCACUUCUUUGCCAAUCGGCAUGGCGGGCGCGAAUUUGACGAGGAGCCACCGCGUCCCAGGCCCAACGACUUCAACGAUUACAAUCGCAAGACCACUGAGGCGGCUAGCAAGACGCGUGCCACGCCCACACGUGGGCAGCGCACCAGCCAGACUCCCAGUGCCAGCCCUGGCACCAGCACCACAGCUGCUCCCUCAACGAAAUCCGUGAAGAAGAUAACGCUGCAUGCUUCCUUCAAUACAGGCUUUCAGGACUAUACGCAGCACUACAAGUCGACCACGCCCAGCACCUUGGCGCCCACAGCGAGCACCACACCGCGCCUGGGCAGCGGCAUCACCAGCCGCUUCAGCUUCGGCUCCAAUGACUAUCAGACCCAGGAGCGCAUCCAGCCAACCACAUAUAAUCCGAACAAUGGUUUUCGCUACAAGAGCACGGAGCAGCCGUCCAGCUCGACCAAGCUGACGGGCAAGAAUGCCCAGGACUUUGACAAGGAGACCACCAGACGACACAAGCCAACUGCGUCAGCACGCAAGCAGAAGCUCGGCCCGCAGGAGUCCAACUACAUCAAUCACAAUGAGUUCGCUGAGCUGGCCAAGCCGCAGCCAUUCCAGGCCAAUCAAGAUGCAGCCCGGAAACCUGCCCAGCUGGAGCCGCAGUAUCAACGGCCUCGCUCCCAAUCAACCGCUCAGCAGUUGACUCGCGUGGGCAGCCAGGAGCCGUCGCCAUUCAAGUCCUCGUCGAGCGCCUCUGCCUCCAAUGCCAAGCCGCGCACCUUUGCAAGCCGCGGCAGCAUCACCUACAAGGCGACCACCCAGCGCUAUGCCGACGAUGAGUUCUACUAUCCGACCACCACCAGCACAGCGAAUCCCAGCAAGAAGUUGUCCACGCAGGCCCUAAGGGAUGCCUUUACACCCACCACCUUCAAGCCGACGACGUACAAGAAGGCCUAUGAGCAGAGUUUCUAUCAGGUGCAGCAAACGCAGCGCCCCAGCCAGAGUCCGAGCUCCAAGAAGACAACGGCUGUGACACCUGCGCUGCCCAGCACAGCCAAUCCGCACGCCAAUAUUGAUGAGGAUGACGGACAGUACCAUCCGGAGCUGUAUGAGAGUGACUUCCCGCGCAAUCGCUUCAAGUUUCUGCGCAACCGAUCAACCACCAGCCCCACGACCUCCGCGAGCACCACCAGUGCUCCCGUCUCGAGCAGGCAGCCUCAUGGGUUUCAGCAGGCGCACAGCCAUCUGAGGAGCCAGCAGCAGUCCGCCUAUCAGAAGCAGCAUGAGCAGGAGCAAUCGGAUCUGAGCGACGAGGAUGAGCUAUUCAAGACGGCCCAAUCGCUCAACUUUGGCGCUGCCAGCAUCAACAAGCUACGCGCUGAUAUCUACAAGGCGGAGAAGACCUCGCAGCAGUAUAACUCCCAGUACAGUCCACAGUUGGCGCCAUCUAGUCCGAAGACGAUCGCCCAGGUGACCAGCUCUACCACGACAUCACCGACAACAACUACAACCACAACAAGGCGCCCCACAACAAGCACAACGAAAACAACAACAACCACCACCACCAGCUCUCCGGUGGAGUCUAAGAAAUCGGCCAAGAGCAAAAAGGAGGACAAGAAGAGCAAAUCCAAGCGGCCGCCAUAUGCCGACGAGGAUACCAGCUACGACUACGCCUACUACGACACGGAUUGAGCUCCAGGUCAGCAGCAGCAUCGGCAUACGUCCAGCUCAGCCCAGCCUAGCCCAGUUCCCGAACUAUAUAGCCCUUAUUUUGUAUGCCUUCAUCGCAAACUAACAAUGUUAAAACACAUACUUGAAUCCUCUCCAGCAGCAACUAUAUAGAUUCAGCUAUUGCUCGCAUUUUUUCAUCGUCUUCGGCUAUUCAUGGCCCCUGAAUACCCAUUAACACUCGCGUACAUUCAUUCAAUCAGAUGAGUUCGUUCUAAUGAAUUUCCAUGCGUGUAUCUAGUUAUUUAAAUAAAACAAACAUAUAUUUAGUCGUUAGACAAUUGUUAAACUGAAAAAAAGGAAACACGA
Drosophila arizonae is the source of this 3003-nucleotide unclassified non-coding RNA. The record is from RefSeq and is a predicted model, not a curated record. NCBI's taxonomy places the organism in Eukaryota, Metazoa, Arthropoda, Insecta, Diptera, Drosophilidae.